This 253-nucleotide ribosomal RNA is filed under the name uncultured bacterium. Its description in RNAcentral is "partial 16S ribosomal RNA". It matches the Rfam family "Bacterial small subunit ribosomal RNA", at positions 524 to 776 of the family's 1533-position model. The record is from RNAcentral.
UACGUAGGGGGCAAGCGUUGUCCGGAUUUAUUGGGCGUAAAGAGCGUGUAGGCGGCCAGGUAGGUGGGUUGUGAAAACUGGAGGCUCAACCUUCAGACGUUGACCCAAACCCCCUGGCUAGAGUCCGGAAGAGGAGAGUGGAAUUCCUGGUGUAGCGGUGAAAUGCGCAGAUAUCAGGAGGAACACCAAUUGCGAAGGCAGCUCGCUGGGACGUUACUGACGCUGAGACGCGAAAGCGUGGGGAGCGAACAGG